GUUAGUGGCGAACGGGUGAGUAAUGCAUAGGUAACGUGCCCCGAUCUCCAGAAUAGCCGGGGGAAACUCCGGGUAAUACUGGAUGACAUCCAGAGGUCGAAUGGCAUAAUGAUCAAAGGCUUCGGCCGGUUUAGGAGCGGACUAUAUCGUAUCAGCUAGUUGGUGAGGUAAUGGCUUACCAAGGCUUCGACGCGUAGCGGGACUGAGAGGUUGAUCCGCCAUAUCGGGACUGAGACACUGCCCGGACCCCCACGGGGGGCUGCAGUAACGAAUCUUGCGCAAUGGACGAAAGUCUGACGCAGCAACGCCGUGUGUAGGAUGAAGCCCUUCGGGGUGUAAACUACUGUCAGGGUGAAGAAAGACUUGAUCGAUCCCAGAGGAAGGACCGGCUAACUUCGUGCCAGCAGCCGCGGUAAUACGAAGGGUCCAAGCGUUAUUCGGAAUUACUGGGCUUAAAGCGCGCGUAGGUGGGAAAGUAAGUGUCUUGUGAAAGCCCAUGGCUCAACCAUGGAAUUGCUUGGCAAACUGCUUUUCUUGAGGCAAGUAGGAGUAUAUGGAACUCUUGGUGGAGCGGUGAAAUGCGUAGAUAUCAAGAGGAACGCCAGCGGAGAAAUCGGUAUACUGGGCUUGUCCUGACACUGAGGUGCGAAAGCAUGGGUAGCGAACGGGAUUAGAUACCCCGGUAGUCCAUGCCGUAAACGAUGUCUACUAGAUAUUGGGAAUUCUGACGUUUUCAUUGACGGAGCAAAAGUAUUAAGUAGACCGCCUGGGGAGUACGGUCGCAAGGCUAAAACUCAAAGGAAUUGACGGGGGCUCACACAAGCGGUGGAGCAUGUGGCUUAAUUCGAAGCAACGCGAAGAACCUUAUCCUGGAUUGACCAUGCUUGGAUGCCGGCUAUGAAAGUAGUUUGGCUGCCUUCGGGUGAAACUUGCACAGGUAUUGCAUGGCUGUCGUCAGCUCGUGCCGUGAGGUGUCGGGUUAAGUCCCUUAACGAGCGCAACCCCUAUCCUUAGUUACCAGCGGGUAAAGCCGGGGACUCUAGGGAGACUGCCGGUGUUAAACCGGAGGAAGGCGGGGAUGACGUCAAGUCAUCAUGGUCCUUACGCCCAGGGCUACAAACGUGCUACAAUGGCCGGUACAAAGCGAAGCAAGACCGCGAGGUGGAGCAAAUCGCACAAAGCCGGUCCCAGUUCGGAUUGCAGGCUGAAACUCGCCUGCAUGAAGUUGGAAUCGCUAGUAAUCGCGGAUCAGCAAUGCCGCGGUGAAUGUGUUCCUGAGCCUUGUACACACCGCCCGUCAAGCCACCCAAAUAGGUCGCACCCGAAGUCGGGUAGCUAACCUUCGG
RNAcentral lists this ribosomal RNA (1346 nucleotides) under uncultured prokaryote. Its description in RNAcentral is "partial 16S ribosomal RNA". It matches the Rfam family "Bacterial small subunit ribosomal RNA", at positions 91 to 1445 of the family's 1533-position model. The record is from RNAcentral.